This 1343-nucleotide ribosomal RNA is filed under the name uncultured bacterium. RNAcentral describes it as "16S ribosomal RNA". It matches the Rfam family "Bacterial small subunit ribosomal RNA", at positions 28 to 1378 of the family's 1533-position model. The record is from RNAcentral.
GACGAACGCUGGCGGCGUGCUUGACACAUGCAAGUCGAACGGAAAGGCCCUGCUUUUGUGGGGUGCUCGAGUGGCGAACGGGUGAGUAACACGUGAGUAACCUGCCCUUGACUUUGGGAUAACUUCAGGAAACUGGGGCUAAUACCGGAUAGGAGCUCCUGCUGCAUGGUGGGGGUUGGAAAGUUUCGGCGGUUGGGGAUGGACUCGCGGCUUAUCAGCUUGUUGGUGGGGUAGUGGCUUACCAAGGCUUUGACGGGUAGCCGGCCUGAGAGGGUGACCGGCCACAUUGGGACUGAGAUACGGCCCAGACUCCUACGGGAGGCAGCAGUGGGGAAUAUUGCACAAUGGGCGGAAGCCUGAUGCAGCAACGCCGCGUGCGGGAUGACGGCCUUCGGGUUGCAAACCGCUUUCGCCUGUGACGAAGCGUGAGUGACGGUAAUGGGUAAAGAAGCACCGGCUAACUACGUGCCAGCAGCCGCGGUGAUACGUAGGGUGCGAGCGUUGUCCGGAUUUAUUGGGCGUAAAGGGCUCGUAGGUGGUUGAUCGCGUCGGAAGUGUAAUCUUGGGGCUUAACCCUGAGCGUGCUUUCGAUACGGGUUGACUUGAGGAAGGUAGGGGAGAAUGGAAUUCCUGGUGGAGCGGUGGAAUGCGCAGAUAUCAGGAGGAACACCAGUGGCGAAGGCGGUUCUCUGGGCCUUUCCUGACGCUGAGGAGCGAAAGCGUGGGGAGCGAACAGGCUUAGAUACCCUGGUAGUCCGCGCUGUAAACGGUGGGUACUAGGUGUGGGGUCCAUUCCACGGGUUCCGUGCCGUAGCUAACGCUUUAAGUACCCCGCCUGGGGAGUACGGCCGCAAGGCUAAAACUCAAAGGAAUUGACGGGGCCCCGCACAAGCGGCGGAGCAUGCGGAUUAAUUCGAUGCAACGCGUAGAACCUUACCUGGGUUUGACAUGGAUCGGGAGUGCUCAGAGAUGGGUGUGCCUCUUUUGGGGUCGGUUCACAGGUGGUGCAUGGCUGUCGUCAGCUCGUGUCGUGAGAUGUUGGGUUAAGUCCCGCAACGAGCGCAACCCUUGUUCACUGUUGCCAGCACGUUAUGGUGGGGACUCAGUGGAGACCGCCGGGGUCAACUCGGAGGAAGGUGGGGAUGACGUCGAGUCAUCAUGCCCCUUAUGUCCAGGGCUUCACGCAUGCUACAAUGGCUGGUACAGAGAGUGGCGAGCCUGUGAGGGUGAGCGAAUCUCGGAAAGCCGGUCUCAGUUCGGAUUGGGGUCUGCAACUCGACCUCAUGAAGUCGGAGUCGCUAGUAAUCGCAGAUCAGCAACGCUGCGGUGAAUACGUUCCCGGG